This 247-nucleotide ribosomal RNA is filed under the name uncultured bacterium. RNAcentral's name for it is "partial 16S ribosomal RNA". It matches the Rfam family "Bacterial small subunit ribosomal RNA", at positions 525 to 771 of the family's 1533-position model. The record is from RNAcentral.
ACGGAGGGAGCUAGCGUUGUUCGGAAUUACUGGGCGUAAAGCGCACGUAGGCGGCUCAGCAAGUCAGGGGUGAAAUCCCGGGGCUCAACCCCGGAACUGCCUUUGAUACUGGGUGUCUGGAGUCCGGAAGAGGUGAGUGGAAUUCCGAGUGUAGAGGUGAAAUUCGUAGAUAUUCGGAGGAACACCAGUGGCGAAGGCGGCUCACUGGUCCGGUACUGACGCUGAGGUGCGAAAGCGUGGGGAGCAA